This is a long non-coding RNA of Oncorhynchus keta (chum salmon), 1421 nucleotides long. RefSeq lists it as uncharacterized. The transcript has 4 exons. Lineage: Eukaryota; Metazoa; Chordata; Actinopteri; Salmoniformes; Salmonidae. The record is from RefSeq and is a predicted model, not a curated record.
UGCUUGCUAGUGGCAUCUAGAAAACACACAGAAACCUCUCAUGCUGUUUGAUGCAAGGCACUUUUUAUAACGUUAUAUAGUCAGUGUGUUUGGCUAGUUCAGAUCACUACCUUGGCUUAGUCAGUGUCUAGGUCAGAUCACUACCGUGGCUAGGUCAGAUCACUACCGUGGCUUAGUCAGUGUCUAGGUCAGAUUACUACCUAGGCUUAGUCAGUGUCUAGGUCAGAUCACUACCGUGGCUUAGUCAGUGUCUAGGUCAGAUCACUACCGUGGCUUAGUCAGUGUCUAGGUCAGAUCACUACCGUGGCUUAGUCAGUGUCUAGGUCAGAUCACUACCGUGGCUUAGUCAGUGUCUAGGUCAGAUCACUACCGUGGCUUAGUCAGUGUCUAGGUCAGAUCACUACCGUGGCUUAGUCAGUGUCUAGGUCAGAUCACUACCGUGGCUUAGUCAGUGUCUAGGUCAGAUCACUACCGUGGCUUAGUCAGUGGCUAGGUCAGAUCACUACCGUAGCUAGGUCAGAUCACUACCUUGGCUUAGUCAGUGUCUAGGUCAGAUCACUACCGUGGCUUAGUCAGUGUCUAGGUCAGAUCACUACCGUGGCUUAGUCAGUGUCUAGGUCAGAUCACUACCGUGGCUUAGUCAGUGUCUAGGUCAGAUCACUACCGUGGCUUAGUCAGUGUCUAGGUCAGAUCACUACCGUGGCUUAGUCAGUGUCUAGGUCAGAUCACUACCGUGGCUUAGUCAGUGUCUAGGUCAGAUCACUACCGUGGCUUAGUCAGUGUCUAGGUCAGAUCACUACCGUGGCUUAGUCAGUGGCUAGGUCAGAUCACUACCUUGGCUUAGUCAGUGGCUAGGUCAGAUCACUACCGUAGCUAGGUCAGAUCACUACAGUGGCUUAGUCAGUGUCUAGGUCAGAUCACUACCGUGGCUUAGUGUCUAGGUCAGAUCACUACCGUGGUUUUUAGUCAGUGUCUAGGUCAGAUCACUACCGUGGCUAGGUCAGAUCACUACCGUGGCUCUUAGUCAGUGUCUAGGUCAGAUCACUACCGUGGCUUAGUCAGUGUCUAGGUCAGAUCACUACCGUGGCUUAGUCAGUGUCUAGGUCAGAUCACUACCGUGGCUUAGUCAGUGUCUAGGUCAGAUCACUACCGUGGCUUAGUCAGUGUCUAGGUCAGAUCACUACCGUGGCUUAGUCAGUGUCUAGGUCAGAUCACUACCGUGGCUCUUAGUCAGUGUCUAGGUCAGAUCACGAGAUCAUCAUGGUCGGAAUAAGAAAAAGGCUUUGUUGUUAGAACCGAUGAGCCAGUAAGUACAUAUGCUAAAUGUCUUCAUUAAUGGGGGUUAAUUGAUUGAAAUAGCUUGUUGUGGUUUCUGGUGCCUCUGUUCUUUCUACCACGUAAAUGGGUAAACUCAUCCCUGG